Molecule: ribosomal RNA, 1104 nt
Filed under: Triticum aestivum (bread wheat)
Lineage: Eukaryota; Viridiplantae; Streptophyta; Magnoliopsida; Poales; Poaceae
Description: partial small subunit ribosomal RNA
Source: RNAcentral
AUGGGGCUGCUGGCGCUCAAGCGCCUCGUGUCCGUGCGGCAGGACCGGAAGACUCGAUCCCGUUGUGGUACGUCGAUUGCGCCGGUGGCCAAGAGAAAGUGCUCGCCCUGUCAACAACAAGACGAUACUCGUCAUCAAGCUGCCAAAAGGAGGAGGCGCUCAGUGCCAGAGCUUCCAAAGGACAUAUGGGAUCAUAUACUUUCCUUGCUGCCACUGCGGGAUGCUGCUCGAGCUGGUUGUGUAUCUCGCGCGUUAUCAAGUUCCUGGACACGCCUUCCCAACCUCACCUUCACAAGGGAAACACUCGGCCUGACUGGAAAUGCAUGUCGAAAACGUGAACUUGCACGAACUUUCGAAAACAGAGUUUACCGCGUUUUGAGAAAACACUCGGGCGGUGGUGUGAAGACAUUCAAGCUUCAUCACUGUGGUUCUGGUUUCAACAUUCGUGAUCUGAACAGGUGGCUUCAGAUUGCCGUUACUCCGGGGAUUGAAGAAGUCGUACUUUCAGUGCUAAUGAUGUUCAAUACGCCAAUCUUACCUGUCAAAUUCCUCUACCUCAAGAACUUGCGGAUUUUUCUUCAUGAUCGAGCGAUGAAGGGCUUUUCCCCAGGCUAUGAUUAUUUUUCUCUCGUUUCUUUUCUGGAUGCUUGUCCUGUGUUGGAGAAUUUUGUCUUGGCUGUAUUACAGGCUAGCGUAAGGCAUGAAUUGAUUUCCGGAGACCCACAUCUGAGGCAGAUGCCAGAACACCGGCAUGGCAAUAUCAAGAAUGUGACGAUCAAGGGCUUUUGCGCUGCAAAGAGCAUGGUCGAGCUAACCUGUCAUAUUCUUGAGAAUGCAACAUCACUCGAGUGCCUUACGUUGGACACCAUAUGUGAUGAUGGCUCUGAAGACCUUGAUAGGACUUUUGACGACGGAAUUGCUAGAUGCUGCUACACAGUGUUAGACUGGGGUAUGCUCGACGAAGGCUAUAGAGGGCUCAGGGCUAUCGAAAGAUACAUUGUGGGGAAAGUUCCCUCCACGGUCAAGCUAAAUGUUUACAAGCUCAGCAGCCGUCGCUAUGCUAUAAAACCGUAUGAAUAUAGUUAUGCCAAUUAUCUAUCCUAG